GGAGUUUGGACCGUGUCUCAGUUCCAAUGUGGGGGACCUUCCUCUCAGAACCCCUACUGAUCGUUGCCUUGGUGGGCCGUUACCCCGCCAACAAGCUAAUCAGACGCGGAUCCAUCUCGCACCGAUAAAUCUUUUACCCUGUCCCAUGCGGGACCGUGGUCUUAUGCGGUAUUACCAGCCGUUUCCAGCUGCUAUCCCCCUGUGCGAGGCAGGUUAUCCACGCGUUACUCACCCGUCCGCCACUAAGUUAAAGGUCCAUCCGAAAAUUUCUCUUUAACCCGUUCGACUUGCAUGUGUUAGGCACGCCGCCAGCGUUCAUC
RNAcentral lists this ribosomal RNA (320 nucleotides) under uncultured Coriobacteriales bacterium. RNAcentral's name for it is "partial 16S ribosomal RNA". Lineage: Bacteria; Bacillati; Actinomycetota; Coriobacteriia; Coriobacteriales. The record is from RNAcentral.